ACUUGGAUAUCUUAUAUUUAGAGUAUGACAUUGAAGAUGUCAUUGAGGUUUAUGUUCCUUCAAGUA
This 66-nucleotide transfer RNA is filed under the name Cryptotermes secundus. RNAcentral's name for it is "tRNA-Phe". Lineage: Eukaryota; Metazoa; Arthropoda; Insecta; Blattodea; Kalotermitidae. The record is from RNAcentral.